CGAGGAAUAUUGGUCAAUGGGCGGGAGCCUGAACCAGCCAAGCCGCGUGAGGGAAGAAGGCCCUAUGGGUCGUAAACCUCUUUUGUCAGGGAACAAAAGCGAGUAUGUAUACUGGUCUGAGUGUACCUGAAGAAAAACGCAUCGGCUAACUCCGUGCCAGCAGCCGCGGUAAUACGGAGGAUGCGAGCGUUAUCCGGAUUUAUUGGGUUUAAAGGGUGCGUAGGCGGCGGUGCAAGUCAGCGGUAAAAGCCCGGGGCUCAACCCCGGCGAGCCGUUGAAACUGCAGUGCUAGAGAAGGCGAGAGGUACGCGGAAUGCGCAGUGUAGCGGUGAAAUGCUUAGAUAUUGCGCAGAACUCCGAUUGCGAAGGCAGCGUACUGGCGCCUGACUGACGCUGAGGCACGAAAGCGUGGGGAUCGAACAGGAUUAGAUACC
This 434-nucleotide ribosomal RNA is filed under the name uncultured bacterium. RNAcentral's name for it is "bacterial SSU rRNA". It matches the Rfam family "Bacterial small subunit ribosomal RNA", at positions 355 to 786 of the family's 1533-position model. The record is from RNAcentral.